CCUACGGGAGGCAGCAGUGAGGAAUAUUGGUCAAUGGGCGCGAGCCUGAACCAGCCAAGUAGCGUGAAGGAUGACUGCCCUACGGGUUGUAAACUUCUUUUAUAAACGAAUAAAGUGCGGCACGUGUGCCUUUUUGUAUGUACCUUACGAAUAAGGAUCGGCUAACUCCGUGCCAGCAGCCGCGGUAAUACGGAGGAUCCGAGCGUUAUCCGGAUUUAUUGGGUUUAAAGGGUGCGUAGGUGGGUUGUUAAGUUAGUGGUGAAAGUUUGCGGCUCAACCGUGAAAUUGCAAUUGAUACUGGCAGGCUUGAGUGCAGUUGAGGUAGGCGGAAUGCGUGGUGUAGCGGUGAAAUGCUUAGAGAUCACAAAGAACACCGAUUGCGAAGGCAGCUUACUAAACUGCGACUGACAUUGAUGCUCGAAAGUGUGGGUAUCAAACAGGAUUAGAUACCCCUGUAGUC
RNAcentral lists this ribosomal RNA (460 nucleotides) under uncultured bacterium. RNAcentral describes it as "partial 16S ribosomal RNA". It matches the Rfam family "Bacterial small subunit ribosomal RNA", at positions 338 to 795 of the family's 1533-position model. The record is from RNAcentral.